GUAGCCCACAUAUCAGAUAUUAAACUGAUAAGAACAAAUACUACACUUGAUCUUAGCCAAAAGGCCGAGAAAGGUAUGCUUCUCUUUGAUGCCAUGGGUCGCCUGAUAUAG
This 111-nucleotide ribosomal RNA is filed under the name Triticum aestivum (bread wheat). RNAcentral's name for it is "partial small subunit ribosomal RNA". Lineage: Eukaryota; Viridiplantae; Streptophyta; Magnoliopsida; Poales; Poaceae. The record is from RNAcentral.